CCUAGUUCUGCUGGAGUGGAGCUGAGAGAGGCUCUUGGGAGCUGCCUGCGUGGGCAGAGUUUGAAGGCUUAGGAUAUCUCCUGAAGGCCGGAUGGGCCAGUAGAGAUUAACGAGGCUUGAGCUGUCUUGAAAGAUGGCUGCCCUGAGAACUGGCUAGAAGAGGAGACCAAGGAGGCUGUGUGGGUCACCCUUGCAUUGGAGAUGAGGGGAGUCGUGAGAGAUCAGUGGGGAGCCCAUUGCCCUGUUGGGGAACUGCCUGGUGGAGCUUUCCCAGGGAUAUUUUAAAGAACCUACAUGGGAGAAAGCCUGCAUUUGGACAUCUUCCAGGCCAUUCAAUAGCCAAAGAGAACCACCAACAGCUUGAAUCAAAAAAAAGGUACAAUUUGCUUGAUGUCAUCAAUACAGUGAGCCAGUGUGAUAUUCUGCGGAAUUGAAGAUGACUACAGUCCCUUUGGACUACACUAUGACAAAGAACAAGAGUGUUAGCACAGCCCUGGGUGGGUCACUGACAAGAAAAUUCACCUGGAGGCCAAAUUGUCUCUAAUAACAAGUCCAAGACAUGCAUUCCAGCUGGAAUCCUCUUCCCGGAUGAUCCGUGUCCCUGUCUGUAACACAGGGCUAAGCAAGUUCUUCAGCUAUUGGGCUUCAUCCACUCAACAUUCCACUGGCACUUCCAGAGCUGCCACCACACUUCAGACUCCCAAGGCUAACAAUGACCAAGAAAGACAGAUUCUCUGACGUCAUGGAACUUACUGUCUUUAUGAAUUUCCAGGGAGAAGGGUGCUAAGAUGCUAACAUGGAUACUAACCAUCUGAUGCAAUAUUCUGCUGCACAGAUUGUGACCUAUGACUCACUGGGACAUGAUAGAGGUCACAGAAAUGCCAAUGACAUCCCAAAGACAGUGUGGGAGUGUGUUGUCUAGCUUCUUAGCAAACCCCACCCCCACGGUGGCAUGACCCCUGCACCAUCUUCUCCCACCCUGGGAUCUCCUUCCUACCCCUCUGCCCAUGUCAAUCUGGAAGGUACUUUUAUACACACACACACACACUCCUAAUAGCAUCUAAAUCAGUCACUCUCAACCUUGGCUGUGCAUUAGUGGUGCUUACCUAUGACAGGGCUAGGCCCAGGCCACACCCAAAUCCAUUAAAGCAGAGCGUCUGGGGUGGGACCCAAGCAUCAGAGUUAUUGGCAUCUUCCCAGCUCGAGAACCAGUGCUCUAAGCGGAUGUGGUCGUCGGGGGAAAGGCAAGGACCUCUGGUCUUUACAAUCUUCUUGAUAUCACUGAAUAACCUCAGUUUCUCUGUCUGGGCAAGGAGGGUACUAAUACCUCCCUCUCCAGGCCAUGAUGAAGGUAAAACAAUAUUCUGAAAGAACCUCAGGAAUCCUGCCCAGAUGAGAGGCACUGGCCCUGUGGCCUCUGGGCAGAUUCACUGGAGAAAGUGGUGGGUGUGAUGGUUUCCCUGGGGGCCAACACUGAGACUUCCCAGUGUUUGCUCUACCAGGGUGAGCAUCACUGUGGUGAAUGUCCCUUGCAGAGCUCACAUCUGUUGCACCAGGAUACUUCCCCUGAAGCUGAGCUGCCAGCCCCAGCCUCCCAUUCCCCCACCUCCUUACCAUGCCCUUCCUUUCCUUCUCUGGCCAGGCCCGAGUCCUGCCAUCUCUAGAUGCUGCAUUUCCAAUACUUUCGGCCCAAUAAACAGUUGGCAGGUGUCAGGUUCCCAGGUUUGAAAGGGGUCUAUAUUAAUCACAGAGAUACACACCUGUCAGGAGUCCAGCUAAUGUCCUUCAGAGAGCCCUGGAGGAGAGCGGGAGAGGCAGGGCUGAUCUGAGGGCGGAGCACACUGAGGAGUAAGGAGAGGCUGGGAUGUGCUAGGGCCACCAGACCAGGAUGUACUGGGGCCGCCAGACCUGUCCACGGAGUCCAGGCGGGGGACUCCCACAUGUCUCAGGCAUCAUGAGGGGCUACAGAAGCAGCAUGAAAACAGUCCCCACCCUCGCCCAGUUCAUGACCUAUAUUGGGAGUGACACACGCUGGGCUUUAAGAUGCUUGCCAAGCAACAUACAGGCAAGUGCAAAGUAGUGAAUCCAGGUUGAGGAAGUGGGUGAGGAGAAGAAAUAUCAGGUGAGAAGCAGACCUGGGGGUUGGGAGAAUGGGGUAGGAAGAGUCCCAGAUAUGCAGUGAAAAGUCAUGCCCUGUUAACGGGGAGAGAAUAGAAGGAGGGGAGGGGAGUGGAGGGAAGAGGAAGGGAGCAGAGGGGCUGAGAGGGGAGGGGAGGGGAGAGGAGGAGAGAGGAAGGGAGGGGAGGGGACAGGAGAGGAGUGGAGGAGAAGGGAGGGGAGUAGGAGGAAGGCAGUGCACAUUGCAUGCAGUAAGGAAAGUAUUAUGUUAUAAAACUUUGUUUCAGCUUUUUGUGGGGUGAGUGUGUGUACUGGGUCCUGAGAUAAAAUUUCUUUCUUGCAUGAUCUAAGAAGUAUGUGUGCAUCACAGGAGUCCAGGCUUUGAGCCUGGGAUCAGCACAGUUCCUGACUCUGACCCACACACCAUGAGCCAAAGCUCUAGACCUUUCAGAAAUUCUUCACCAUCAGAAAAAUGGAGGUGGCACGCCCUGCCGCAGCUGAUCAACUUCCCAGAUGUGCUGCGAGCCUGCAGAGAAAGAGAUAGAAGUGGCCUGGCUUUGAAACAUGGUGCUAUCCCCUAGCAAGCAGAGGAGGAGCUUCCAGACAGAAAAUGGUACCUUUCCCCAGAGUCUAUGUUGAGGUGCACCAGCCUUUCCAGUCCUGAGAAAAGACAGAGUCAUGGCUCCAGGGCAGGUGGGCAUGCCUGUGUCCCAGGAGGCACUGUUCUUCCUGGCCAGAGACCCAUGCCCACUUCAGAGGAGCCAUGAAGGAGAAACACCAGGCCACAGUGGAGGACUGUGAUCAAGGAAAAAUUGAAGAACUGCUGCAGGAAAUUGGAGCUGCCAAUCUCCUAACAAUUGGAAUUUUUUUAUACUGUGCAUUUCACAAAUGUAUGUCCUCAAGGACAGAGAAGAUCCUGCCCUAAGGAGCAAGUGUGCGGAGGCCACCUGGCCUUCACUGGUUCCUGCACUGAAUGUUUCCUUCUCACCUGCUGAGUACCAGGUGUUACCCCAGAGAUGGCAGAAGGACUGAGGACCUGGGGAGGAGAGAGGAGGAAACUGGAGGACUGUGAACGUGGCCACGUCUUUUCCAAUGGAGAGAAAACUCAAUCGGAUCUGGGCACUCCCUACAUUUCUCCACCUCCUGCCGCCCCCGUGAGCCACUGCAGGGAGAUUUUUCUGAAUAAUGGAACAUUUUCCUGUUUUAAUCAGAUGCAAUUUUGCAAGCAGUUUUUAUGAUUUAGCAAGUCCAUUAAAACUGGCAUUUGUUCUGCUCUGACACUCGAAAGGGGCUCCACAGAGCAUAAACAUUGGAAAUUACUUGUAGGGAGAGACAAUAUUAAAAUUCCCCAGCCUGGGCCUGUUGUUUGAGAAAUUCUGUUAUCAAGCAUCAUGCCAGCUACGAUCAGAGGUGCUUGAGAUAUAUGCUGCUUCCUCUUUACGCACUAACUGGGGGCCUGGGAACUCAGGCAGCAAUAAAGUCGCAAUGCUGUUAUCUCUCAGCACUUUUGGCAUCAGGAGGUGAAUGGGUCUUAAGGAGAACUCACUGGAAGAGCAGGUCACGAAGUGCAAAAUCUCAAGGAAGAGGGUGGGUGAACACAUCUUUAAGGACAAGCCUGGAAAUUGCUUUCCUGCCCACAGUGAAUGAUAGAGUUUAUUGGCACAUAAUUAAGAAGGUCUGUUUUGUCAGUUUCACUUGUAGUCAAUUCUCAAUUAUCCAUAUACUAACAGAUGACCAGGGUCAAGUGAAAAUUCUCCUUUUGCCCUCCUUCUGCUUCCCUGCAGGGAUUCCCUCUCCACAGAACCAAAGUAGAGUAUCAGCAAGAGAGGCUUUGGGGAGCAUCUCCUCUCCCAGUCAAUGCAGAAGCCAUAGAAGAAAUCACAAAAGAUAGAACCUGGCAGUUCAACUACAUAAAAUUAACAAUGCGUGG
Molecule: long non-coding RNA, 4048 nt
Filed under: Homo sapiens (human)
Lineage: Eukaryota; Metazoa; Chordata; Mammalia; Primates; Hominidae
Description: non-protein coding lnc-OAF-4:5
Source: RNAcentral